Molecule: ribosomal RNA, 127 nt
Filed under: Ulva lactuca
Lineage: Eukaryota; Viridiplantae; Chlorophyta; Ulvophyceae; Ulvales; Ulvaceae
Description: partial 18S ribosomal RNA
Source: RNAcentral
UGGAUUUCGGGUGGGACGCAGCGGUCUCGCAUUGCGUUUGUACUGCUGCAGCCCUCCUUCUUGCCGGGGGCGGCCCUUCGGACUUCACUGUCUGGGGGUCAGAAUCGGCGAUGUUACUUUGAGUAAA